RNAcentral lists this RNase P RNA (385 nucleotides) under human gut metagenome. RNAcentral's name for it is "Bacterial RNase P class A". It matches the Rfam family "Bacterial RNase P class A". Rfam says of the family: Ribonuclease P (RNase P) is a ubiquitous endoribonuclease, found in archaea, bacteria and eukarya as well as chloroplasts and mitochondria. The record is from RNAcentral.
UGGCGGUCUGUCGCCGGGCGCCGGAAGGCGCCGGGAGGAAAGUCCGGGCAACACAGAGCACCAUACUUCCUAACGGAAAGCUGCGGGCGACCGCAGAGACAAUGUAACAGAAAUAUACCGCCGGGCGCGAUUCCGGCCUUCGGGCUGACGGCGCCGGGUAAGGGUGAAAUGGCGAGGUAAGAGCUCACCGGCUUCUGUGGCGACAUGGAGGCGCUCUACAUCUUAUGGGUUGCAAUGUCAAGUAUACCGGCAGUAAAGGAUUGCUCGUCCGUUGCCGGGGGGUAGGCAGCUUUAGCCGUUGGGCGACCUUCGGCAUAGAUAAAUGACAGACGCGGUGCGCGGCGCGAGCUUCGCAACCGUACAUAACCCGGCUUACAACUGUCCU